GGUUGCCUACGGGGGGCAGCAGUAGGGAAUUUUCGUCAAUGGGCGCAAGCCUGAACGAGCAAUGCCGCGUGAACGAGGAAGGUCUUCGGAUCGUAAAGUUCUGUUGAAGGGGAAAAAGAGCGGAGAGCGGAAAUGGUCUCCGAUUGAUAUUACCCUUCGAGGAAGUCACGGCUAACUACGUGCCAGCAGCCGCGGUAAUACGUAGGGGGCAAGCGUUAUCCGGAUUUACUGGGUGUGAAGGGAGCGUAGACGGCAUAGCAAGUCUGACGUGAAAGCUCGGGGCUGAACCCCGGUCCUGCAUUGGA
RNAcentral lists this ribosomal RNA (305 nucleotides) under uncultured bacterium. RNAcentral describes it as "bacterial SSU rRNA". It matches the Rfam family "Bacterial small subunit ribosomal RNA", at positions 333 to 630 of the family's 1533-position model. The record is from RNAcentral.